Nothobranchius furzeri (turquoise killifish) is the source of this 11301-nucleotide long non-coding RNA. RefSeq lists it as uncharacterized. Lineage: Eukaryota; Metazoa; Chordata; Actinopteri; Cyprinodontiformes; Nothobranchiidae. The record is from RefSeq and is a predicted model, not a curated record.
AGUGGGUGGGGCCAGCAGCAACUCAUUUGCAUUAAAGUGGCAGAGCUCUGAAACGGCUCAUUCUGGAAGGUACCGACAACAUCAAUAAGAGCUGCCGAAUCACUUUAUGUGAGAGGGAUUUAGUGCAGGAAACCUCAUGAACACGUUUUAUCUGGAUUAUAGAAUACCUUGUUUGUCUAAAGAGGUGAAAUACAUUCCCUUUUUAAAGGUGGUCACUUUAUUCAACUGGCCUUACAAAACACAAACACAUCUGUAACUCAGUCAUGAGAUAAACACCAGGUCCACGUCUACAACUCACUGACUGUUAAGAGUGAAUCCAAAACAAGACGGCCAUCUAAGCCAAUCGAGUUUAUAGAUAUUAUAGAUAUGUUAGCUGCAGCAGUAGUUGUCACCCCUCCAUAAAACAUACUCCAAGUGAGACACUAUUUAUUUUCAAGACUGAACCAUAACUCCAUGAAAAUCUCAUUUUAAAAGCCUAGCUUUAAAGAGCAGCGGGUGAUUUUCAUUUCUUCAAGGAACGCGAGGCCUUUACUUCAUUUGUGCAGUUGUUGAAGGGCGGUGGUGUCUCUGAGGGGAUGAGCAGCGGCGGUGCACUCAAUGACCUCUGCCUGCACUGUCCAAAUUACAUUUAUUUCCAUUUAUUUUUAGUCUCCACUUCCAGUCAAGAACGAACACGACCAUAAAUGAGAAAAAGUCUGAAACAACGUGAAAAUCUGAGCACAUACAUUUUGAGUGCAGAUUCCUGACAGAAGCAGAGCUGCUACGGUGGAAAAAGUGUGCGUGGGUGAGAGAAGUAAAAAGCAUAACAAAUCAUCCGUACAAAGAGUUGAUUCUGUGCUGCGGGGGAAAGGAACUCGCUCAGGGUGGGGAGCUCUGCGGUGCACAGAGAAGGUCUGUGAGUCAGCUCAGAGGUCAGGGCUCGAUCCAAGGUCAGAGGUCAGCAGGGCGCGCCGUUUAGGUGUCGGAAUACGAUGGACAAUGACGGUUCUUAUCAGCACUAGAGACAUUCUCUGGAUACUAUCUUUAUCUUCUACAGAGGAGAGGCCUGACACACGUGUUUCCAUUCUCCUCCUGGCUGCUGCAGUCGGUCCGGUCAAGGCGACGUGGCUGGCGGAUCGAGGGACGUUGGCUGUAUGAGCGUCCCUGCCAACAAUCACGCAAAAUCCUCCUAACAUUCCUGCAAACAGCAGACUCAGAGCGAAGGCAUGUGUGACAAUUUGCUGGGUCUGAGUGCUCACACAGAGACGUCCUGGUGUGCGGUUUCACUAUCUGUCUGAGCCCUUUGUAGUGGUUAGCUUGUGGUUUCCUCCAGCAGCUCGGAGCCUACCGACAACAGCUCCGGCAACGUUCCCGGCAUCCUCCAGUUACCCUCAAGAAUGGGCUGGAAAACCUGAGAGGCAGCACGCCAGAUGCAGGGAAGAAAAAACAACUGAACAGAGGGAUAAUUUAAGAUGCAGAACUGCUUUUACCGUACGAACCCACGCUAACGAUAAACGGAGAAGGAAGUGACGCGCCGCCAUCAGCGUCAGCCUGAAGAAGCCGGCAGCCGUCGGCGAAACUGUAGCGUCAAUAACAGGUAAACAAAACCGUUUCUGUGUUUUAAAAAAGAACGACAACAUGGAAUUAGAAAUAACGCACAGCAAGAACACACCUAAGACGAACCCACGCGGUCUCUGCGCUCCUCUGGCAGCCGUCUCCUUGUCGUCCCUAAAGUCAGGCCACAUAUUCACGGCGAGGCGUCCUUCCAGUACUACGGUCCUCGUCUCUGGAACGAGCUGCCAGGGGACCUCAGGAGCGUGUGUGUGUGUGUGUGUGUGCUGGAGGAUGUGUUGUGAAGGGGUUUUUAUAAUUCUGGGUAUGGGAGGGAAUGUGGGUAUGUGGGGCCUUUUUAAUUUGUUGAGCACUUUGAGUUGCAUGUAUUGUAGGAUUAAGUGCUGUAUAAAUAAAUGAAGUUUGAGUUGGAUUUCACAAUACAGCACGUCCCUUAGUUAAAGCUCUCACUCACUCCUGUCACCAUAAAUCUGCAGUGGUCUCUGGUAGGAAUGUGAGUCGAUUUCUGUGUUUCAGGAAGUAGAAGUUAGUCGGAGGAGAGGAGGACAACAGGAUUUAGAGUCUUUCUCAUUAGUAUUCAUGAUAUUCAGACAUCUAACCUCUGAUUGGUUAACUCAGUCACUGCCAGUGACGACUAAAGUCGUCAUUUGCAUUUUUUUACUGUUUGAGCAUCGGAACGAGCCCCCGCGCUGAGAGAACAAACAUCUCAGCCCUGAAGCCGAUCUUCAUCCGCAUACGUCACAGAUCACAUGAUCAGGAAGCAACACAUCCAUGUGUUUGGAGAUCGUUUUGGGCCGUUCCUGUAAAAAAAGUGAGGCGCGAACCGGAAAAGUGUCUGCCGAUCACAAUUCAACAACGGAUUAUGAAAGAACGGAUAACGCUCGAAACACACGGCUUCUUCCUGAUGUAAGAGGUGAGUCUCUUCUUUGUUUUGUUUGUUUUGGCAUCGACAUCAUGCUAGCGCGCAACGUUCUGUGACUCUUAAAAAAACAGUAAAAACGGUGAGAAACGCUGGCAGCGAAUAAGUUAACAGCAGCGCAGCUCUUUCACUGCCUCAGUUUGCUCUGCAACGCUGAUGUUUUAUCUCCACAAAUAACACAUGCUUGGAGGAGUUCUGCUGUGUGGUGGAGUUGCUAAUGCUAGCGAUUAGCUUCUACGUGCUCUGCUCUCUCCUGGAUGCAAAAACCAACAACGGCCUUCCCUGUCACGAGCCAAGAUGGGUGAGUCCAUGAAUGUUUCCUUUCACUGUGACCAAGAACUUUGUGGCUGUUUCUAGUCCGAGCAUUCCCCGUCAAAAUUAAUUCAACAACUAAUUCAGGAAAUAGGUGUAGAAGACUAUUUUUGAGUUCUGCAUGCAUGUGAAACUCAGCGCGACCGAUCGUUUUUGAAAAAGAACAAGUAUUAAAUGUUUCUCAGUGGACCUGCCUUUAACAUUUAGACGGUUGAUUAAUUGUGCGCUCUUUUAAAAGUCGUAGCUUUUAAAAUAACGUACUUUAGACUGUUUCCACAAUUUUACACAUCUAUCAGUGUGUUCUGACACAGAUAUGUAGCACAGGUUUGAGUUCAGAUUAGCAUUAAUCCAGCACAUACGCUACAGUGUGUGCUGCGGCUCUGGCGGCUGCUGGAUUAAUGGAACAUCUUGAUCUCCUGCACCUUCUGAAUUCAGAGUUUUAUUCAUUUCCACCAGAAAACAGAUUUGGGAUGACAACUUGUAACUGAACAGUGUUGGGAGUAAUGUGGUACAAAAGUAAUUAAUUACUGUAAUGCAUUGCUUUUUGCUGUAAUGUGGUAAUGUAAGGCAUUACAGGGAAAGAAAAUGGUAAUAUUUACUCGGUACAAUUGUCAGUAACGCGGUAAUUACAACGCAUUUUUAAACCCAGAAUCAAGAUGGGUUCCUUAAAAAUCCAAAUUGCGGGAAACCCGAAGAAAGAUCCAGUAUCUGCAUAUAUUACUUCAUUUAUGGACUCAGCUUUGCGGGCAGAGAGGACGCCGCGGUAACGGCUCAGCUGCGUCCUGCACGCGGCCGCUGUAACAUUCACAAAAUCGCUCCACUAAAACAAAAUAAUUCACUUGCGAUUGUUCAUAUCGGCGCAUGCUCUCUGGUAUUUUGUGCUUUCCUGACGUGCUUUGCCUCAGCUGAGUUAAUAAUCUGUACCCCGGUGAUUUCAACUCAUUACUGCUGGAGCGCCGCGCAUGUGAAGAUCCCUUUGGCUGAUCGUUAGAAAGUAGGAAAUCUAGGAAACAGUUUUUUCUGGAAGACGGAGAAAACAUGCAGCAUGCAGGAAGGUUAGAGAGAGAAAGGGCCGGAAAUUAUUCACAUAAAACCAAGAAAAAAAAAGAAAAAAGUAGGUAGAUUUAUCCCCAAUACACAUUUUUACCAGUGAAAAGCAAUAAUAUAUAAGCAUUUAAUAUUUAUACAUGUGAUAGAAUCAGAUCACCCCAGAAGUCAGUCCCACAUCCAGGGCCGUAUCAAGGCAUUUGGGGACCAAGGCAAAUAUAGGCUUGGAGCCCCCACCACCUCACUCCCUGCUCAGUUAAUCUAAGAUGGCAGAUUGUUGUUGCUUUUAUUUAAUAAACAAUCAUUUUAAAGCACUGUUAUUAUAUCUGACUGUUUUUAACAGCAACCCUAGCUCAGACACCACAUCACCUUCCACAUAUAUGUCAUGAGCUCACUGAGCGUCACAUGACCAGAUUCAUAUUGAAGUUGUUUUGGUGAAAGUAACUUAAAGUAAUUCAAAAGUAGUGUAAUCCUUACAUUUUAAAAUCAGUAAUAUUGUAAUGUAAUGAAUUACUUUAAAAUGAGGGUAACAAGUAAUAAAUAAUGCAUUACAGUUUUGAAGUAACUUGCCCAACACUGUAACUGAAGCUGUUACAGGAGAUCGUUAUAUCUUUCUAUUGAGAUACUAAAUAAGAGUAAGAGGUCUGUUAUUUUUCUGCAGGAUUUCAGCAUGUCAGCUUGUCACAUGACUGUGAUGGACAACGCUCCAGAUCUUAUCUGACGCCCACCUUGAGGACACUCAGGGCCACCCUGCCUUCUGAGCUCUACCUGUUAGUCACAUGUCGGGCCGUCUCUCCUGCAGCCGCUCCGUGAAGCUGAAACAUUGUGGAUCCCUCAAGUGCCGCUGACAUCAACAGUGUCUGGAUUAUAACUGCUUUGAUGGAGGAGGCAUGUGGCGAACACUACCAUGUGGGCCUGGCGCCGAGUGACUCACCUAUCAGGUGCAGGGGGUCAGAGGUGACAGCUGCACUUAAUUAACAUACCAGGUUCUCAUACUGGAAGCGUGUUCGGCUGUUAACUGGACCCACAUACGGGGUAAAGAAUGUUUAGGUUUCCCAGUGUAUCAACCUUUGGAGUUAUCAAGGGUGUUUUUGUCUCCUUCUCAUCCAUUCCUGCAUUCUUUCAUCACCUUCCCCUUUUCCUCUGCGUCUUUGUUCCAGCUCAAAAAUUUUAGGAGCGGGUCUGAAAGGUGAGCUCAGCUCAGCCGCUCACCGUGAGCUGCAUGUUUCACAUUACGGGAAUAUCUCGACCCUGCGUUCCGUUCACCUCUGGAGAUGAUAAAGCUGCUCAGUGGCUCCUGAAAGCAGCUUUCCUUCAGGGUGCUAACAGUGACCCGAGUGCAGGAGCAGAACAACGGGUCCAUUCACUUUGGAGAACUGAGGGAUGCUGAAUCGAGCUAAAGAGAGAGCUGAGAAGCAUCACACUCCAACUCUGAUGCAGCAUGUCCCAACUAAAGGAGAAAUAUUACGGUAUCACAUCCACGUCCAAAGUACCUGAGCUGCUGUUUUCAUCUGGGUUGAGAUGUUCAUGAAAAAUGUCUCCUCCCAUUAACCAGAGGUGCCUCUAGAAAGUCUCCACAAGGAAAUCCAGACAAGGGUCCCUGGUAAUCCUGAACUACGGAAGAGGAUUAGGGCUACUGAAAGAACACAAAAAGAAAAGAAAAAAAUUUCUGACUUUUUUUCACAGAAGUCAAAAAGUCAGAAUUCUGAGAAAAGUGUCAGUAAUCGGAUUUUAAAGUGGGAAUUCUGACUUUAAACUCAGUCAGAAUUAUUUUACUUGUUUGUUUCUUUUAAGCUCAGUUGCACUCAGAACAUUAUGAGACUAUGUGAGUAAAGUCACAAUUCUGAGAUUAAAGUCAGAAUGUUCAGAAAAAAAUCAGAAAUCUAAGAUUAAAGUCAGAAAUCUGAGAAAAAAGGCAGAAAUCUGAGAUUAAAGUAUGCGUUACGAUAUCAAAGUCAGAAUCCUGCGAAAGGUCAGAAUUAUGAGAUUAAAGUCGGAAUUCUAAAAAAGAGGCAGAAAUCUCAGAAUUAUGAGAUUAAAGUCAGAAAUCUGAGAAAAAAGGCAGAAAUCUGAGAUUAAAGUAUGCGUUACGAUAUCAAAGUCAGAAUCCUGCGAAAGGUCAGAAUUAUGAGACUAAAGUCGGAAUUCUAAAAAAGAGGCAAAAAUCUCAGAAUUAUGAGAUUAAAGUCAGAAAUCUGAGAUUAAAGUCAGAAUUCCGAGAUUAAAGUCUAAAUUCUUUUUCUUGUUUGUAUCUUUUAAGCAGCUCAAUUUCAGUCAGAAUAUUAUGAGACUAUGAGAUUAAAGUCAGAAUUCUGAGAUUAAAGUCAGAAAUCUGAGAUUAAGGUCAGAAUUGUGAGAUUUAAAUCUGAAUUUUAAUGUUCAAGUCAGAAGUCUGAUUAAAAUAAGAAUUUUUGGAAAGAAAAAUCAGAAAUCUAAGACUAGAUCCAUAAAUCUGAGAAAAAAGCAGAAAUCUGACAUGAAAAUCAGAAAAUUUGAUAUCAAAGUCAGAAUUCUAAGAAAAAGGCCAGAAAUCAAAGCUUAAAGUCAGAAUUCUGAUGAAAACAGCAUAAAUCUGAGAUUAAAAUCUGAAAUCUGACUUUAAAAACAGAAUUCUGAGAUUAAAGUCAGAAUUCUGGAAAAAAGAGGCAGAAAUCUGAAGUAAGUAAUUCUGAAAAAGUGCAUGCUUGUGUGAUUAAAGUCAUAAUUCUUGGAUAAAAGUCAUAAUUCUGAUUUAGUAUCAGAUUUUGGAAAAAAGGCAGAAAUCUGAGAUUAAAGUAAGAAUUAUUAAAUCAAAGUCAGAAUUCUGAGAAUAGGCAGGAUUAUGAGAUUAAAGUCGGAAAUCUUAGAUUAAAUUCAUAAAUCUGAGAUUAGUCAAAAAUCUGAGAUUAAAAUCAGAAUUUUUAGUUUUAUAAAAAUUGCAAAUCUGAAAAAAGACAGAAAUCUGAGAUUACAUCAGAAUUCUGAUAAAAGGGCCUAAUUGUGUGAUUAAAGUCAUCAUUCUUAGAUUAAAGUCAUAAUCCUGAGAUUAAAGUCAGAACUCUUUUUCUUUAGUGGCUUAAUUUCAGUCACAAUAUUAUGAGAUUAUGAUCAGAAUUAUGAUAAAAGAAGCAGAAAUCAAAUUUUAAAGUCGGAAUUCUGAGAUUAAAGUCAGAAAUCUGAGGAACAAAGGCAGAAUUCUGAAGUUUAAGUAAGAAUUAUGAGAUUAAAGUCAUGAUAGUUUGGUGUUGUUGUUUUCAGUGGCCCAUGUCCUCUUCCACACACCACCAGCUGAAGCUGUAACUAAUAAUUUAUAUGAAUCUGUGGAGGGAAUAGCCCGUUUGGAUUAAACAUUAGCUCAUCUUUAAUCACUCGCUGGUGUGUUUGUGAAGCAGCAGUUUUGGGUCUGAAGUGUCGGUGGGAGGGGAGUGUGAGGGCAUAAAGGGAGGCUUUGAGAGGAAAUCUGCCAGCAGGAUUUUUUUUCUUGUGAGGAUGGUGGAACGUUCUUUUGUUCUCCACAGAGGGCGUACAGUUGGAGAGCAGGUGUGCAUGAAAGCACAGAAACACAGGUGAGCCCUUAUCGUGAGUGAAAGACAAGUCAUGUGGAAUCCAAGAUGAACGGAUUUACAGAGAAAAGCUGCGUGUGUUCCUCCACACGCAGCAGGUAUCUGGUAAGAGACACAAGUUUAGCAUUAGCUUCAAUAGCCUCAGGUGGUAGAUGUUAGCUAAUGAGUCAGCUGGGUGAUUAUAUCAGCCUGCUAGAAAUGAUGUGGGUAUUUAAAGAGCAGCAAGCCGUUUAAUCAUCUGACCAUCGCCAGUUUCUUAUCAAGGCUGUUUUUAACUUCGUCACGUGGAUGCAGAUGUAAAUGAUCACCGUUUUCAUCCUAUGUGGACUGUUUAACCCCAUUUUGUUAUGUAAUAAAUUGUAUGAGUGUGUGACACGUCAGCUGGGCCAGCGGCACCAGCCCGCUGCCUGGCUGCAGAAGGGGUGGGGGGCGGGAAUCGUCCUGGAAUAGCUCUGCUGGCCUGGAAUGCUGAGGGGAAUGUUUUACAGUGGGAUUUGAUUGGUCUGUGUGUGUGUGUGUGUGUGUUGGUGAGUGGUAUAAGUUAUCAGAAGGUGAUGGAAUCUGCUUCCAGAUCAGCCGAGGGGAGAUCCAUCCUCUGUGUGGUCAGCAGGUUGACAGCCGGUCUGUGCCGGGGUCUCGGCCAUGUGUCUGUUCUGUCUGCACCUUGUUGUUGUGGCUGCCACCGCCCCCCGCCCCCCGCCUGUGUGUGAGUGACGCGUCAUCGAUCGGCUCCCGGCUUUGUGAAAUCAAAUCUGGCUCGUCCAUCUCAGAGGAGAGGCGCACAGACAGGCAGCCCAUUAGGCCCCAUGCUCUGCAGGCUGACCUUUGACCCGCAGCCCCCUGUUUGACCAAAAGGAGCUGAACGGCCAUGCCAGGUCAGCGUUUUGCUCAGCCAUCAGCAGGAACUCCUCAAGGUCUACACACGCAGGCACAUGCGGGUAAAAGUGCCUGCAGAGUCAUGAGGCCCAAAGCACAAACGGCUAAUUCAUGAUCCUCCGAACAGAUCAGAUAAAGCUCUAAAGUGGACCUUUCAGCAGCUCGUGAGUCAGAGUGUAACAGCAGUGUGAACCGAGGGCAUCAGACUCUCACGGCCCAGCCUGCUGGAAGGAUUGGCCCUUCAGGAAUCCUGUGUGAACCCCGAGUUCCUCCUCUUCCUCAAACCUCAGCAAACCCAAACCUCUGCCACAUCUCCGGCUGAAGGACUACUCCCAAUGCCUUGUUUGCUCAGCUGUGCUGGCUUAAUCGAACCCAUGUUCCUGCUUUGUUUUCUCCUUUUUCCUGCAACAGUCUGAAGCUUUUGUUUUUCUUUUCUAUGUUUGGCUUUUGUUGUGCUCCUCUGUCUUUAUGGGAUUGACGCCUGCAACGUCAAGAGGUCAGGAAGAUGGCUACCUGUGGAAGUCUCACAUUCCCCCGCAGCAGCGUAGUGUCACAGAGGUGUUAACAUGUACAGCAGUCAUGUAAACACGUCUUUGCUGAGCCCGCUGCCUGGGUUCGGUCUCUGAAUCUCUGCAGGAGACGCUAAAUGCAUUCACACAGGUAUUUGAAAUAAUCAUUCUGGUCAUUUGGGAAUGUUUUCCUCUGCAGAAGUUGGUGAAUCACUUCCUGCUUGGAAAAACAGUUUAUGUCUUGCUUAGAUUGAUGAGCUAACAGCUAGUUCAAGCAUGUGUUUCUGCUGACCUUAAAACAUCUUAUCUAGUCCCAGUUAAUCUCAUUUCACAGAUAUUUAACUACUCCGCUAUUUAAAAUGAAUUCUAUGGAGAAUAAAUAUCCCCACCAGCAAAAUGUAGCACUUCCUGUCCAUCCAAGUGGGUCAGAAAUUCUAUGUACUAACCGCCUAAUCUUCACUAGGGUCACAGGCGAGAGGCGGGACAGGAUGGGACACCCUGGACACAUCUCCAGUCCAUCAGGGACACACAGAGAUAAAUGACCAGUAUCUCACUCACACCUAGGCACAAUGUAGCGCCUCCAAAUAACCUGACUUGUAUGCUUUUGGUCUGUGUGGAGGAAACUGGAGAAAACCCACGCAUGGAUGGGGAGAACCUGGAAAUUCCUGGCAGAAAGGUUGCAGCUGGGAUUCAAACAUACAGUGCUUACUGCACCACCAGGCAGCCCUUUCUUGAAAUGUCCCCCAAAAUAAGCAGAUGAGACAAAACCAUGGACUGUAUACAUAAUGGACAAACCCUCCGCGCCGUCACUCGUAUGUUUCUGAAGAGCUGAAUUAAAGCUCAGUGGGCGGUUCCCAACACCGCCAUCUGCGAGUGAUUAAAGCCAUCUAGAGCAGAGGGCGGGGCAGAUGACCGACACCCAUCAAACUCUGACAUGAUGUAGCUACGAGCUAACUGAGCUAACCAAAGCUAACAGAUUGGCAUGCACUUUUAGCCAGAACACUGCAAUCGAGUGACGCUGCUACCCUCUACUACAUUUAACGUGAGGUCGAGGCUGAGACCUUCAUUGGAGUACAUGAGGGGGGCGGGCUUGCGCUAGCACUAGCGCUAGCACUAGCACUGAUAGCUCAGUUUCAAGCUUUAAUUACAUCUAAAUGGAUGCAGGGCUACCAACUCUCACGCAUUUGACUCUUUUCACACGCUCUCACACCACACCUCCAAUAUCUCACGCUGAUUAAUCAGUGCCGGCAGCUACUUUGGGGGCAAAUUUCGAUUUUAAAAGUAAGUCAACUAAUUUAAAAUGUAUUUUUUAGAUCCAAAGAAGUUAUCUAUGGUUGUUAGUUGCUUAGUAGUUGCAGCUUCGGUGGCUAGCGGGUAGUAACUCGCUUAUAUAUUUAAUUUAAUAAACAUAUAUACAAUUUAAAAAGUAACAAGCGCUUUAUGUAUUUAUAUUGAAGCUUAUCUGUAUAAAAUAUUACGUUAUCUCCCGUGCUACGUGACGUUACGUGACCGCCGUGGAAGGCGCGGUCACGCGAUGCAGGUCUGUUUCAUUUAACCAUUUUCUUUGACCAAGGAAGGACCGUGUCCUCGUAAGCAAGGCGCCUUGACACUGAGAAACACCCUAAAAUGUUUUUUGAACCCGGCUGUAAACAUGUUUAGUUCUGCUGUGAAGUUGUCUUCACUUUUGGCAGGCGGAGUCUGCCUCUUGGGCAAAACUGACGACUGUUUAGGUUUAUAAAGGAACAUUUACACAAAUCAAUGUAAAAGGAUCAAGCUUAUCAAUGUCCUUUGAUGUCUUGAUCAAAACACUUUUCUUUUGGCCUCAGACUAGCUGUUAGCUCAUCAGUCCUCUCCUUUAAGGCAGGAACCAGGUGUGUCUCACCUGCAAAGAUGCGUAGGCGUUUGCGCCUCGGCGGCGGCCCCAGCCCCGACACCCCAGCACACUCGUCCUCAUCAUCACAGUCCCCGCUUGUCAAUCCCUCUUCGGCCUCGUCGCUCCACCCGUUAGCUCCGCCUCCUCUUGACCUGGCUCGCCAACGCUUCUCCGACACCGUUACCGUGUUCAGCAGCUGCAGAGGGAAAACCAAGGCAGGAUUAAAGAAAGUGACGUUAAAACACACACGGUGAGCAGAAGGUGUCUUCACCGAAUAUCAAAGCGGUGAAAAUGAUCCAGAGGAGUCUUUGGGCCUCGGCAUGUUCCGUGUGAUUACAGGAGUAUGAGGGGAAUUCCAGACACAAACUCUGCAAAUUCUAAAAGUGUCGCUAUUUACCAAACUUAUAAUCACUGAGAAGGAACAACGUUUUGGUAGUUUUGCCAGCCUUGUGUAUUUUAGUAGAAACGUGAUUCAUUCAAAGGCCUGUGGCUUUCGGUCCGUGUAAUUUACCGGUAGAAAAGGAAACCCAGUGGGUGAGCAGACUGGUGAAACUGUUUUUACUGGCAAAACGUAUUGUCUUGAGUGGUUUUCUCAGGGCCGAAACACAACAUCACACACAGCUCAAGAGAAAAUCUGGAGCUCAGGGUCUAAAAUAAAAAAAUGGAAAUGAA